GAUGAACGCUGGCGGCGUGCCUAAUACAUGCAAGUCGAGCGAACGGACGAGAAGCUUGCUUCUCUGAUGUUAGCGGCGGACGGGUGAGUAACACGUGGAUAACCUACCUAUAAGACUGGGAUAACUUCGGGAAACCGUAGCUAAUACCGGAUAAUAUUUUGAACCGCAUGGUUCAAAAGUGAAAGACGGUCUUGCUGUCACUUAUAGAUGGAUCCGCGCUGCAUUAGCUAGUUGGUAAGGUAACGGCUUACCAAGGCAACGAUGCAUAGCCGACCUGAGAGGGUGAACGGACACACUGGAACUGAGAAACGGUCCAGACUCCUACGGGAGGCAGCAGUAGGGAAUCUUCCGCAAUGGGCGAAAGCCUGACGGAGGAACGCCGCGUGAGUGAUGAAGGUCUUCGGAUCGUAAAACUCUGUUAUUAGGGAAGAACAUAUGUGUAAGUAACUGUGCACAUCUUGACGGUACCUAAUCAGAAAGCCACGGCUAACUACGUG
This 497-nucleotide ribosomal RNA is filed under the name uncultured bacterium. Its description in RNAcentral is "partial 16S ribosomal RNA". It matches the Rfam family "Bacterial small subunit ribosomal RNA", at positions 28 to 507 of the family's 1533-position model. The record is from RNAcentral.